This 4051-nucleotide long non-coding RNA is filed under the name Homo sapiens (human). Its description in RNAcentral is "HSALNT0137776". Lineage: Eukaryota; Metazoa; Chordata; Mammalia; Primates; Hominidae. The record is from RNAcentral.
AUGGAACUGAGCCUGGCAGACACUGCAAAUGAGGCCCCUGCCAGCCAGGGGAAGCAUUGAUAGGCACACUGAGGGUAUGCUGAAGAAGGCAGUGAGGUCCAGCUCCAGGAAGCUGCAGCAACAUUAGGCCACUGCAGCGGACCUCAUUUUCAGAAGGAUUUUAAGCCAAAGCCCAAGGUAAAGGGGAGCAAGGACUUUUAUGCAGCUUGUUUUUGUGCAGGUAUUAAGGACUCUCAGGAAGCCUGGUCCUUCAGGGGUUUAUUUUGUUUGUUUAUUUGUUUUGUUUUGUUUUUUCUAUACACAGGGGAGAGGAUUCAAAUGCAGUAAUCAGUUUCUUGCUCUUUUUUUUUUCUUCUUAAAUAGAGACAGAGUCUCGCUCUAUUGCCCAGGCUGGUUUCAAAUUCCUGGGCUCAAACAAUCCUCAUGCCUCAGCCUCCGAAACUGCUGGGAUUACAGGCAUGAGCCCCGAUGCUUGGCCAAUUUUCUUGUUCUGUAAAGCUGCACUGCUUAAGCACAAGGCCAAAAUGAGGUCUCUCACCACUUCUGCCUGAACUAAACUUACCCAGUGAAUGCUGGGCUGGGCAGUCCAGUCUUCCCCACAUGUGGUAAUGUUCUGCUCUCAGUCAUGUUCUAACCACAAGGCAGCAAACACUGGCGCAGCUGAGCCCGAGGCUGGGGCUGCAGUCUGAACUUUUACAUUACUCAGUUAAUUACAAAGCCAGUCAAAUCACCCCAAAGAUCCACACACCCAAGAGUGCUGGAUAAGAAAAAAAUCCUGCAUAUCAAACCCCUUCUGGGGGAGAGACCAGGGAGAGCGUGGAAGAGAAGAGGUCUGGGGUAUGCAGUGGCUGGUGGCCUAGAGCAAUUCUAACCCAGGAGGCCUCAACAGGGAGCCUGCACCUGAAUGUUGGAAGAAGCAGGGUUUCCGUCAGUCUGUGUUGGCUUUAAAGGAACCAUCCUUCAUGCCCAAAGGAGGCAAGUGUUUGGCAGCUUUUCCAGAUGGCAUGUCUUGCAGUCGUUGAAAAUUUUUUAAAGUGUAAUUCUUGAUAGUGUAUCUCCAAGACAGAGAGACAAGCCCCUAGUCACCCUUCUGAACACCAUAAAGUUUAUUAUAAAGGACUUACAAAGGACAAAGACGAAGAGACACAUAGGGCAAGGUACCAGGGAAGGGGCACAGAGCUUCCAUGCCCUCCCUGGGCGCAUCACUCUACAGGAACCUCCCUGUGUUCAGCUAUCCAGAAGCUCUCCAAACUCCAUCCUCUUGGGCUUUAAUGGAAGCUUCGCAAGGUCAGCAUUCCUUCCCCCAGGGUAUGCGGUGGGGCCCUCUCUGGAGAACCCCAGUUAAUUUUUAAAUAUUAAAAUAAAAAUGCUGGCCAGGCACAGUGACUCACACCUGUAAUCCCAGCACUUUAGGAGGCUGAGGCAGGGGGAUCACUUGAAGUCAGGAAUUCAAGACCAGUCUGACCAGCACGGUGAAACCCCAUCUCUACUAAAAAUACAAAAUUUAGCCAGCUGUGGUGGUGCGUGCCUGUAAUCCCAGCUGCUUGGGAGGCUGAGGCAGGAGAGUCAUCUGAAUCCUGGAGACAGAUGUUGCAGUGAGCUGAGAUUGCACCACUGCACUUCAUCCAGCCUGGGGUGACAGAACGAGACUCCGUUUCAAAAAAAUAAAAGAAUGAAAAUGCUAUGUGGAACAAAAAUUGUAUUCAUUUUUGAAACAAGUUUGUUUAAAUGAAAUGAAAUCCCAAGCAAACAACAAAGCUGUUUCUGAGGAGUGAAAGACCUUUUUUGCUUAAUUCUUCCCAUAGGAGAAAAUUCUUUGAAAUAUUUUCUUGCAAUUCGAUAAAAAUGGAAAGACCCAGCAUGUAGGUAGGGCUGCUUGAUUAUUGCAAUGGAGGGAGGGAAGAUGGGGAAGCACAUGCAGCCCUUCUGUGCACCAGGCUCCAGGUGUGAGGACUCUCAUAGCACCAUUUGUGCAACGACGGAUUCGGCCUACUGACAAGGUUUUGAGGAUUUCCCUACUCUGCUAUGUGGAAAUGGAGACACUCAACAUCUCCUUAUAAAAUAUCUUGUGCCAGCCCUCAAGAUACAUGAAGCUGUGGGCCCUCAGAAACAUCUGGCUCAGCAGAAAUGACUGCAGGGUCUGCCUCUGAAGCCCAGCGUUUCUACUCCAUUUGGGAUAUUCCACACAGGAAGAGAAUUGGAAAUGCUGGAGGCUCCCCACGUCAGGCCGUCCUCCAGGAGUGGCUAUCCAUCUCUAAGGGCUUUCCGGACUGCUGCCCAGCAACUUCAACAGGCACCUCUAAUCGACGACCUCUCCUGCCUCCGCUGGUGUAGGGACGCCAGGCUUCUGAACAGCACUGCUCUCCUCAUUUGCCUUCAAGCUGGCCUAUCUUUCCUGCUGGUGGUGGUGGGCAGAGGCAAGGGUGUGGUCAGCUUUGAAAGAGAUUCCAUUCUUGGAAUAAAGUGAUCUAGCAAACAAAGUCUUCAAAAAAAAAAUACAUGAGGGGAAAAACAAUAAGCUGAACAUGAGCAGAAAACACAUUUUCUUGCAUUUGUGGUCAUCUUCUAUGAAGCACAGUAAGAAUCUUUGGAAGCCAGUCUUCAGGGCAAAAGGAUGGAGGAUGCAGCAUCAUGAGUAUCCAGAGAGUCAGGAUGAAGUUGUUCUUGGGAACUGCAGAGACAAGCAGUUCUAUAUGGUUUCAACACAAAUGGGCUAGGAAGAACCCUGGCACCGUGAGCAAUAAUAGUGUCACUACCUUUUUCUAGAGGUGGGAGACAAAAACUUAGCCAGACACAUUCAACAGUAAGACUCAACAAAGAAUCUUCAUAUUCAUGGACAGAAACUAAAUCUGCCACAUUUCUAGUAAGGUUCUUUCUUGGUUAAUUAAAUGUAUUAAUCUCUUCCAAUUUCUAUGUGCUAUUUGUCCUCAUUCCCCAAAGAUUAUGGCUUAGCUCAGUGUCUGCAGGUGAUUGUUCUUCUCUUGUUGCAGGUAAAAUCAUCCACGAUGCCCUCCAAUAUCAUUCCCAAUCAGUUUCCUGUUUCCCCUUCUCUUGCAGAAGCUCUGGAAGCCCACAGAGAACAGAUGCAUAAACACCAUUUACCAGACACAGCUCAGCAAACCCUCUCUCUCUUCCUUCCAGCAGCUUGGUUGUCCUCAAGGAGUUCCUAAAUUUCAUACUUCUGAGGGUUAUAUGGGAUGGUGAGGGGUGGAGGAGAGUAGCACGGAUUGAAAAAUACAUUAAUGUUGGCUGGGCACAGUGGCUCACACCUGUAAUCCCAGCGCUUUGGGAGGCCGAGGCUGGUAGAUCACCUGAGGUCAGGAGUUUGAGACCAGCCUGGCCAACAUGGCGAAACCCCAUCUCUACUAAAAAUACAAAAUUUAGCUGGGUGUGAUGGCACAUGCUUGUAAUCCCAGCUACUCAGGAGGCUGAGGCAGGAGAAUCGCUUGAACCCAGGAAGCGGAGGUUGCAGUGAGCUGAGAUUGCAGCAUUGCACUCCAGCCUGGGCAACAAGAGAGAUGCUCCAUCUUAAAAAAAAAAAGAAAAAUACAUUAAAGUGUACCAAAAUAAAUAUAUGACAGCUUUUAAAUUAUUUUCCAUGGGAAAAAAACUUAUAAUUAGUGACAAUUACUUACUGAGGGCCUGCUGGGCUAGACAUUAUGGACAUUGUGAAAGAUAAAAAGUUCAAGACACAGACUCUGUUUUCAGGAUGUGUACGCUUUAAAUAUGAAGUUAACACAGGGCAGAAAAGUAGAUACACACAUGCACACACAUACCUAUACACACAUACCUACACACACACACACACACACACACACACACAAAUACUCCUCAGACCCAAAGGACGGAGACAUCACAAUGAACAAGAUGAACAAUUGGUAGGAUUUUAAAAGACUAUUUUCUUUUUCAGCAAGGAGGAUGGAGUGGGCAGGUAGGGGAUGGUAUUUAUUUCCCAAGCAAAUCAAUUAGAAAAAAUAUUUGUAUUUCAGUAAAUUUAUUUUUUUCAAUCUUCAGAUAUAAGAAGGCUUUUCCAUGAAAAACACUCUAUUUA